GAGGAAUAUUGGUCAAUGGACGGAAGUCUGAACCAGCCAAGUAGCGUGCAGGAAGACGGCCCUAUGGGUUGUAAACUGCUUUUAUACGAGAAUAAUUUGAUGCACGUGUGCGUUAUUGCAUGUAUCGUAUGAAUAAGGACCGGCUAAUUCCGUGCCAGCAGCCGCGGUAAUACGGAAGGUCCAGGCGUUAUCCGGAUUUAUUGGGUUUAAAGGGAGUGUAGGCGGUUUGUUAAGCGUGUUGUGAAAUUUAGAUGCUCAACAUUUAACUUGCAGCGCGAACUGUCAGACUUGAGUACACGCAACGUAUGCGGAAUUCAUGGUGUAGCGGUGAAAUGCCUAGAUAUCAUGAAGAACUCCGAUUGCGAAGGCAGCAUACGGGAGUGUAACUGACGCUUAAGCUCGAAGGUGCGGGUAUCGAACAGGAUUAGAUACCCUGGUAGUCCGCACAGUAAACGAUGGAUGCCCGCUGUUAGCGCCUGGCGUUAGCGGCUAAGCGAAAGCAUUAAGCAUCCCACCUGGGGAGUACGCCGGCAACGGUG
This 539-nucleotide ribosomal RNA is filed under the name uncultured bacterium. RNAcentral's name for it is "bacterial SSU rRNA". It matches the Rfam family "Bacterial small subunit ribosomal RNA", at positions 356 to 896 of the family's 1533-position model. The record is from RNAcentral.